This 19264-nucleotide long non-coding RNA is filed under the name Medicago truncatula (barrel medic). RNAcentral describes it as "long non-coding RNA (MTRU_LNC005106)". The record is from RNAcentral. Lineage: Eukaryota; Viridiplantae; Streptophyta; Magnoliopsida; Fabales; Fabaceae.
AUUUGGUGUCUGGUUCUUUGGAUGAACAUGGAACCGUUGAGUAUGUCUCAUUGCUCCUGGAAUGUCCAUGUAGUGUUGUAUUAUGGAUAAUGAAUUCUAAGUGGUACAUCGAGUUGAACACAAAUGGAGCCAAAUUGGAAAAUAUAGCUAAUGUAUAAGUUUUCUGUGAAUCUCUUUGAAUUUAUUUGUGUAUAAUAGUCUUAUAAGAUUCUGUUUUUUAUCUGCUAUCAGAAUGAGGUGGUUAUGGCUAUUCAUGCUGAAAAUCUAAAGUUGUUUGAGUAUGAGAUAGUAAAGGAAUGGGUGAAAUGAAUCCUUCUAAGAAAUAGGACAACUCACAACUCAUGUUCAAAUUUUAUAAAUUCAAAUACUUUUAGAUGAUAAGUAAAAACUUUGCAGGAUAUAUACAAAGAUACUCAGAUUGAUAUAUUAAAUGUUGGUAACUUGGUACGAAAUGGAACUCGUGUAGUUGGCUUCAUUUUGUUUCCCCUAACAGUUCUAUCAUUUGUUAAGAGAAAAUUGACAUCAUAGUGUUAAUGCUUGGAAAAUCAAAUAGACUUCAAAUUUAUCUCUCUUCAUGGUGGAUUUUGAAUUAUUCAGUCCAAUUUUCUUGGUUUUUUUGUUAACUAGAACUUAUGUUUUCUGGUAUGUUUUGAUGAAGUGAAACUUUCUUGUACCUUACAGAAUUUUUUGAGGAUCUUAUCAGGAAGAAACAAUUUGUUGUGCUUACUGCUUGGCUGAGAAGAAUCAAAAAGUUUUUGUUCUAGAAAAACCUAAUGUAAAUAAAUGUGGUAAUGGUACUUCCUGCUAUUUAUUACAGAGUAACAACAUGGCUCACUACAUAUGUCGUUUAGUUGCUUUAAGAAUGCCUCUAAGUUUAUGUUCAGCAACUUUUUGGUUUUGGUUUUAGAAUGGUUAACUCACUCUAGACAGAUUUAAUGCACGGUUGCACAUCAUGUGAAGUGAAUAAUUUUGAGUGUUUGGUUAAAAUGAAAUGGAGGGAUAGGAUUUGGUGUCAAAUAAAAUUACAUGUCCAAUCCAAUAGUUAAAAUCCAAUAAUAAAAUUCAUUUACAUAAUAGUACUAACGCUACAAAAGUACACAUGACUACAUUACAUGUUUUUGAUUGUUGAAAGACAUGUUCAAACUUAUCAAACAAAAUCAAGAAAUUGACAGUCCAAAGCAACACAAAUAGAGCGACUCAUUCCCUUACACAACAAUGAAAUGUAAGACAUCUUUGAAUAUGGUUGCUCUUCUAUUGCAUUCACCAUUUUUAAUUUGAUCUUUCACUUCCACUUCCAGUCAUUGAACAUUCUAUUCAAAAUCAUUCAAAUUUCAAAUGAUUGUUUAAUAAAUUGGAUUUUGUGGAAUUUUCUAGUGAAAUUUUAGCAUAAAAAUGUCUUUCAUGAAAACAUGAGAUUUCUUGAGAUUGUUUUUACUCUCUCUCUCUCUUCAUUUUAUCGAGUUCUUAAAAUUCAUAAAAUCUUUUGAAAUAUUAUAAAUCCAUAAAAUCAUCUUAUGAUUUAAGUCCUGAUAGUCUUUUGAAAUCAUAAAAGUCAUUAAAAUCCUACAAAAUCUUUUAAAAUCCUCGAGACUUUUUUAAGCAAAAAUUAUCCUUCAAAAUCCUAAUUCAAUACACCCUAAGAACAAAAACUAAAACCAGCUUGUUGAAAAAGCAAUACACUUGAAAGUUCACCUCAAUAAUUUAUGUUACACAAGUAUAAUCAAACCAAAAUCACAGUUAUUUCCAUUCAUAGUCAACCAACUUUUCUUCUUGGUUACUGAUUAUUUCCAUUUGCUCGUACAAUUGAUACACAUUUGUAUCGCACAUCUUUUAAUUUUUUUCUUCCCUGGAUCACCAAAUAUGCAAAAGAGUUUUGUUUUUAACAAAAAGUUAAAUAUAUGGAAAAUCACAUACUCCUAGAACUCCUAGCUUUGAUUCUCUGUCGUUUCAUUUGUUACAUCACCAUGGUUCCCCUCCACUUAAAAGUAAUUGAGGGACCACUUUUUUACAUUUUUUUUUUUUAAACAGAUGCAAACUUUUUUACAUUCAAUGUUUAUUAUAAUUGGCAGUAACAAUGGGGAGAGAAUAACGUUAUUGCCUUUGUAUAUACUUUCAAUAACAAGGUGACGUUAAAAUGUAAUUUUGGUUAGAUGAUGUUGUGGUGCACCAAUGAUAAAUAUAAAUAAUUUCUUAAGUAUUUAUUUUCUCAUAGAUAUCUGCUUUGUAAAACUUAUGCACAUAAUAAUCAAUAUAAACAAUGCUUUACACUAUAACAAUAAUUGAGGUGCAAACCACACUUUUUCAAUAUGUCUACAUUAUUAUCAACAAAAAAAGUCUAUAUCAUUAUUAGUCACUAAUUUAAUCAAUUUUUUUUUUUUUAAUCACAUCUUUCCCAAAAACCAAAUCAAAUGUUACCUAUAGCAUUAUUUUCAUUGCAUGCAAGUGAAAGAAAAAAAGCUUUACAGCCCUUGUGAAUUUAUAAACAGGGACCCUUUUCAUUAGUUUACAUCACUCCACCUUCAGUGGUGGGAUAGGCCAUCCUUUUACAUUUUUCUAAUUUUUACUUUCAUCCAAGGGUAACAGGGACAAGUCGAAGUUGUAUCCUUUUAAGUUGAGAAAGGGGGCUAUAUAAGGUAUAUAUACUCUCCUUUUACAUUAUUUUUUCCAUUUUUCCUUUCAUCCAAGCGUUACAUGAAAACUAAGAGCCUUUGUAUUAUGAGAGAACAAAUGAAUGAAUAAUUCUCAUUGAUUGUGAAUGAAGUAAAGGUACAACUUAUAUAGGAGAGCUAAAAUACUAUAGUAACUAACAUAUACUAACUGUAUUCUAACAUAAACCCUAAUACAGUUAUGUAAGAAGUAACUAAAGGGAUAACUUGCAUAACAAGUUAUCACUAUGAAUAAGCUCUUUCAUCACUAGUGUCUUCACUAUGUAAUAGCCUCCCACAAGUUGGAAGUUGAUAAAUAUCUACCAAUCCCAACUUGGAUAGCAAUGUAUGAAAAGGCUGAGGUAGCAAUGCCUUUGUGAGGAAAUCAGCAGUUUGAGCAUGAGAAGUAAUAGGAAGCAGUUUCAUCAUACCAACUUGCUGUUUCUCCGUAACCAAAUGGCAAUCAAUCUCUAAAUGUUUUUUUCUUUCAUGAAAGACUGAAUUAGCUGUAAUGUGAAGGGCACUCUGACUAUCACAAUAAAGAACUGGUGGUUUAACACAUGAUCACUGUAUAUCCUAAAUGAGGUAAAGAAGCCGCUGCAGUUCACAAGUAGCAACUACAAGUGCUCUAUAUUCAGUUUCUGAGGAAGAUCUAGAUACAGUUAAUUGCUUUUUAGUGCACCAAGAGGUGAGGGAAUUGCCUAAGAAAAAUCAUUGACCUGAGAUGGAUCUCCUAGAGUCCAGACACCCUGCCCAAUCAGCAUCUGAGAAACCUAGAAUUUGGAGUGUGGAGUCUCUAGGGAAGAAUAAACUUUUGCAUGUACAACUCUUAAGAUAUCUGAGUACUCUCAUAGCAGCAUUAUAGUGAAUGUGUGUAGGUUUGGAGAGAAACUGGCUCAAUUGUUGUGUAAUAAAGGUAAUAUUAGGUCUUGUAGUAUUGAAAUAAAGUAACUAACCAAUUAACCUUCUAUAAGAAGAAAUGUCUUCAUAAGGUGGACUUGAAUCACUAUGCAGUUUUAUUGAAGGAUCAGAAGCUGUGGAGACAUGAUCAGAUGUGGUGAGACUUGAAUCAGCAAGUAAAUCCAAGCAGUACUUUCUUUGGCAUAGGGAAAUCCCUUGUUCAGAAUGAGCAACUUCUAAACCAAGGAAGUAUUUUAAUUGGCAAUGAUCUUUGAUUUUGAAAGAGUUGUGGAGAAUGGUUUUGAUGUUUUCAAAUUCAGAAAGUGAAUUGCUUGCUAAGAUGAUAUCAUCUACAUAUACAAGGAGAACUGUAAAUUAAGAGGAUGAUGAUUUAGUGAAUAGGGAAUGAUUAGAAUUUGUCUGCUUGAAACCUUGAGCCACAAGUAAUGAAGUAAGCUUUUCAUACCACUUUCUGCUAGCUUGCUUCAAUCCAUAGAGAGAUUUUAUUAGUUUACAAACUUGAUUUGGUUUGGAGGUUUUAACACCUGGAGGAAGUUGCAUAUACACAUUCUCUUGCAAUUCACCAUGAAGGAAAGCAUUAUUGACAUCAAGUUGGUGAAUGAACCAAUGAUUAAUGGAGGCCAAAGCAAUAAUGAGUCUGACAGUUGUAAGUUUAGCUACAGGUGAAUAUGUGUCAAAAUAAUCCAAACCCUCAAUCUGAUUAUAUCCCUUAGAAACUAAACGUGCUUUGAAUCUUUCAAUGGAUCCAUCUGCAUGAUGUUUAAUCUUGUAAACCCAUCUGUAGCCUAUUGGUUUGAUGUUUGGAGGUAAGUCAACAAGUUUCCAAGUACUAGUUUGUUCAAGAGUUGUAAGCUCAGUCUCCAUAGCUUUAUUCCAACAAUCAAACUUGCUAGCCUCAACAUAUGAUUUGGGCUCAAUAUGAGUAGUGAUAGACAAAGCAAAAUGAAGAUGAGCAUUAGACAGUUUAUUAUAUGACAGAAAAUUGGAAAUAGGAUAAGUAUUGAUAGUAUUAGAAGAUGAUGAGUGGCAAACAUAGUCUUUGAGAUGUGGUGGUGGAUGCUUAGUUCUUGAGGAUUUUCUGGUAGAAGACUCAACAAUAGUGUCAAUGAAGGAAGGAGAAAUAGGAGAGGUUUUAGGUGAAACAGAUGAUGAAGGAGAUAACUGAGAUGAAGAAAAUGGAAAAUAUUCCAAAUUCUUCACAAAAGAAGAAGGACAAGGAAGUAUAUGAUCAUGGAAAACAACAUUUUUAGAAAUGAAUAUUUGUCAAGAAUGUAAAUAAAAAAGCACAGACUCUUUAAAACCUGACUUGUACCCCAAGAAACAACAUUUUCUAGCUCUAGGGUCAAGUUUAGAUCUUUGGGAAGUGAUUGUGGAAGCAUAACACAGAGAUCCAAACACUUAGCUUUAAAAAGUUUGAUAUCAGGUAAAGAGUCUUAUAAAAUUUGAUAAGGAGUUUGAUAGUCAAGUAAAGGAGUAGAAACUCUAUUAAUCAAGAAAAAUGUAUGAUUGAGAGCAUAACACCAAAAUUGUUUGGGGAGUUUGGAUUGAAAAAGAAGGGCUCUGGCUACAUUAAGAAUAUGUCGGUGCUUCCUUUCAACUCUAGCAUUUUACUUAGGUGUUUCAACACAAGAUCUAUGAUGAAUGAUGCCUUUGGGCUUUUGGCGUUAUUUGGGCCUUCCCAGGGGCGUUGUUUCCGGCCUUGUUUGUUGGGCUGGGGGGUGCUCAGAGGUCUUUUGCGAGUAUCUUUUGAAGGUUUCGUUGGUGUAUCUUGUACAAUUUUCUCUUCUUCUUUAUAUAUAUAUAUAUAUAUAUAUAUAUAUAUAUAUAUAUAUAUAUAUAUAUAAGCCAUUUAAAAAAAACAACAAUACGCCAAAUAUUUUCACUUGAAUAAUUCAAUUGAAAUGUUACAUGAGUUGAUUUAUGCUUAUUUCUCUGGGUAGCUAAAUGAUGCAAGUAAGAAAACAAGCUCGGUGCGGUACUAGGGGCGGAUCCACCAUAAGGCAUGGUGUGGCACUUGCCACACCAGAUUAUUCCCCAUAUUUUUUUCUUCAUAUAAUAAACCUAAACAAUUCCUUAUAUAUAAUAUAUAUUGCUAAUUUGACAUGAAUGUUCACAUGUCAUAGCGGAUUGAGUUUGUACACGGUUCAACACCCAUCAGCAUCACUUUUCAAUGUUUUUUUUAUUUUUAAAUAUUAACAUAAAUAAAAUAGUUAAUCACAAAAUGUGGGUUAUGCUUAAACCAAUUUGCAGUAUUUUGCUUCAUAGUUUUUUUUUGCUACAUUGACAUCAAAUGUGCAGUACACAUAUCAAGUGUCAUUUUUUUUAAUUGAAUACAAAUUUUCACUACUAGUGCUUAACUAGCAGGUAUAUGAAAGGAAAUACAUUUAAAGAGUUGCAUGCGAAAUAACAAAACAUUCCUGAACUCAACCCAAUUCUUAAUAUGGGACUAACAUCAUCUAAUCUAAUCUAAUUUACUCAAAAUUCAAAAGGUACAUGCCCACUAGGAGGAAAGGUAGAUUUGAUUCCUUGUAGAUAAACUUAAACUAUUAAUUCUACAUUUAAUGAUAAUAAUUAAUAAGCAGGGGUUUAUGUACAGAAUCCUCGUGAAUUUAAUUCAAUUGGUAGAAAAAAUGCAUAAUAUAUAUAAGAUUUGGGGUUCAAACAUUGGACACAAAAAAACACAUAGAAACCUAAAAAUUGAAAUUUUAUUUAAUUUGUUAUUGCUUUAAUCAGAUAAUCUCAAUAUAAUAUUUCAAAUCACCAAUUAAACACUUUACAAAGUGUUACAUAAAAGCUUCAUUUUAGUUUAAACUUGACAAAAUUAUGACCAAAAAAGAUCUUAUUUUUUUAAUAGGAAAAAUGCGUUGCUUUUUUCUUUACAGAAAAUUUAGAAAAUGUAUUUAUAAAAUAUGAAAUUUAGGAAAUAUGACCAAGUAACACAUGUAGUAUCAUAAACACAAUAAAAAUUGGUGGUGUGUGUCAGCAGUUUAAAAGCGAUCACCUCUUAAAAAGAACAUGUUUUUGAUUUUAUAUUUUUUUUUGUUCUUUUAACUUUAUGCCCUAUACAAGCAUAUCAUUUAUUAAUUUAUGCAUGAUUCAAUUUAAAGAUAAAAUAGGUAAAUUAAAUUAAAUUAAGGUGUGUGUUCACAUGGGAAAGGUUAAUCCUUUCCCACCAUGGGAAAGUUGGAUUCAAUGAUUAGAUUAAGUGUAAAACAUAUUCUUAACAUGCUCUCUCAACACUAGAUUUUUCUUCACACUAUCUUUCAACAAUUUAAAAAUUCUGAAAAUUCAUUUUCAGAAAUUAAAAAAUAUAUAAAAAUUCAGAUUUUUUUUUUUUUAAAAUUCUGUAAUUCAUUUAUUGAAUGUUAGAUUUUUUUUUUUGAAAAAAAAAAUAUUUCAAUAAAAAUAAAAUUUUGGAAACUAAGAUAAGUUUUUAUUUUUCUAAAAAGAAUAUAUUUUUUCAUUUCAUAAUUAAAUAAGAUAUUCUGAAAAAUAAAAUAAAAAUCCUAAAAAAAAUAUUUUGAAAUUAAUUUUUUUUUAUUUUUCUAAGAAAAUAAAAUUCUGAACAAUUUUUUUUUUAUUUUCAUUUUUCCAAAAAAAAAAAUUCUAACAUUCAAUAAAUGAAUAACUGAAUUUAAAAAAAAAAUUAUCUGAAUUACUUUUAUAUUUUUUCGAUUUUUUUAAUUUCUGAAAAUUAAUUUUCAGAAUUUUUAAAUUGUUGGAAUAUAGUGUGAAGAAAAAUCUAGUGUUGAGAGAGCAUGUUAAAAAUAUGUUCUUCACUUAAUCUAAUCAUUUAAUCCAACUUUCCCAUGGUGGAAAAGGAUUAACCUUUCCCAUAUGAAAUGCCGCCUUAAAUUAAAUAUUAAACAAUUAGAAACAAAAUGGUCACAUGCUUUUACUUUUUUUCAUGCACAAACGGAAUGUACCUUGCCUUGUAAUUGUAUCUACUCUUGUUCAAAAUGAAAAAGAAAAAGAAUUAAAGGUGUACCAUACUUGUUCAAAAUGAAAAAGAAAAAUAAUUAAAGGUGUACCAUAUGCCUUGCCUUCUAAAAAAGAAAAAGAAUCUUUCUUCUUCUCCUCACCUUCCAUUAUACGCAAUCCUAAAUGAUGAAGUCAUUUUUGACUAUUAUUAUGGGAUGGGAUCAUAGGACCAAUAUGACCAUUAGGUAAUGGUAAAAAGUUCCGCGUUCUGUAAUAGAUGAUCUAUUUGAAAAUGUAUAAUUUUAACCUAACUUACUUUGACAAUAUUUUUCUAUUAAUGUACAAUUUUUUUUUUUUAGAAAUACUAAUGUACAAGGAUAAAUAAUAUCAUAUAAGAUGUUGUUAGAUUUGUCUCGAUGAGUAUUUUCAAAAUAUCAAAUUUUCAUAAUUUUUUCUAAUAUAUUAUUCAAGAUAUUUAAACUUAAAAUUAUGCAUUAGCAUGCGUAAUAAGGUCAACUAUGUCAAGUAUUAUGUUACGGAGAGAAUAACAAGUAGAAAUAGGUAAGAAAAAAAUGAGCCACCCACAUAUAAACUCAUCCAUUAUUAUUGUAAAAAUAAAAAGACACGCUCUCUCUCUCUCUUUCAUGAGAUCAUAGGACCAUUAGGUAACUACAAAAGCAACAAGUGUGACUUUCAACCCAUUCAUUUUCUUCUUGCCAAUUAAAAAGUGUUCAAACUAGUGGCAUGCUAUAUAUCUUCUAAUUGUGUCAAAGUUCAUAGUAUAGGUUGUCAAUUGAACACUUCUCUUACUAUUGUAUAACAUCGUAUAAUUAAUCAAAAUUAGGAAAAACUUUUGUGCAUGUGUUUUUUUUUUGUUACAAGAACUUGUGCAUGUGUAGUAACAAAGAAGAAAUGGAAUUACCUAAAAGUAUGGAUAAAUCAUUUUUACUCUAUAAUGGUGUAAUCGUAUAAGAACAUUAAACAUAUUUUUACACAUAUAAGUGGGAAUUUUUUAUAUUUUUUAUUUUGUUAUAAUUUUUUAUAGUAACUAAUUUUUAUUAUAAUAGUAUCUUUUCAAGUAGUCCUUUAAAGCAUAAUAAUACAUAUAAGAAUUGAGCAACCUGCAGUUCAAUUAUCCAUUUAUUGUUUAAAAAUACGGCAAUGUAUAUUAAGGAUACUCUAGUAAAACUAUUGUGAAUUGUGAUUAUAUAUAAUAAUAUAAUAAUAAUUAACUAAAUGAGUUAAAAUUGAAACGGAGAGAAAUAGAGACCUGAAUUUGCAAUGGAAUCCAAGUAGUAUGAUUUAUUAUUUAAACCAUUUCAAUAUUAUUUUGGGAUAGCUUGGCCUUGAACUGAACCUCCUCUUUAUUUUUUUGAAAAGAACCUCCUCUUUAAGGAUUAUGAACUGAACCAUUCCAAGUCUUCUUUUGGUUGGAAACAAUUCUGAACUCUAUCAGCACAAAUCCUAAACAUGCUUGUAACAUGGAUAGUUAUUUUAGGGACAAUAUUAAUCUUCCUAACUCUCAUCCUUCUGUUUUGGGUCAUUGUUACCUGUUCUUGGUCGAAAAUCGGGUUUUUGGACUACUUGAUCGGAUUGCUCCGAAACUUUCCCAGAAAAUCAGAAAAAAUUCAAGGACCAUGACUCCCGUAGAAGGGACUUCUUACGGGACUCCACCCCUCAAAUCCAAAAUUCCAUCGUUUAGACCUAUUUUUCAUUUUUAAUUUUUUUUCAUAUUCUCAGAAAAAUCCGAAAAAAUUUGCAUUAGUUUUAUUUGAUUUUUAGAAUUUUUUGGUGCUAUUUUUAUGAUUUUAUUUGAGAGGUAUUUAGCAUUUUUUUACUUAGUUAUUUUAUUGUUUUUAAAAGCAAAACUCAAAACUGUUGAAAUGUGAGAGUCUGAUGCGUGAUUAUACAUAAGAAUUGUCCGGAUUAUAAAAUCCGAAAUAAUAAACAUGAAUCUGGAUUUUAAAAUCCAGAAUGCACAAGGACAUUUUUGAAAAUUUUACAGGGCGCGGGAGAAGGCCAUAGGGUGGAAAGGUAAUAGUCUAAAAUUAAAUAUUUACUUAUAAAUAAUCCAUUUAUUUGCAUUCUAACUGAACUAAUGGUUGCGUUAAUGGAGCAAUGUAUUUGUUUAACUCGAUUUUAGUACUUCUUGACUCUUCAACGUUAUUUAUGUAUUUCUCUAAAAAAAAACAUUGUGUAUUGUUGCUUAUGUCUUUAUUCGAUAACUUUUUAGAGUGUGCUUGAAAGAGAGAACUUCAAUAAUAUUGGUUUGGUUGAUCCCAUUUGAUGCUUAAACAUUACUUGUGUAAUGUUGCACAUGUCUUUGUUAAAUUAACUCUUAGAAUGUGUUUGUUGGUAUGAUGAUCUUAGAGGAUAAUUAUUCUUUUUAUAAAUAAAUCACAUUCGAUGAUAAAUUUAGAGAUUUUUCAAACAUAAAAGGACUUUAUAUGUAUAUUAUGUCAAAAUUAAAUUUAUAUUAUUUUAAUCAAAUUAUUGAACUCAAGUGGUUAAUAAGCGUCAUCAAAUAAUAAAUUUUUGGAAAAACUCUCAUUUGAUUCUUAUGUUAAACAUGUAUUGAUCAUGUUAUACUUAACCUACAACUGAACUUCGGAUUACCAUAGUCUCUUGUUGUGAAAGAGGGUUAACAACAACAAAAAUUUAAAAGUAGACAAUUUCAAUUGCAACCUUAAAUGUAAGAAUUAGAAAUUAUCUCAUUACUAUAUGCACAUGAAUCUCAAAUUACUUUUUAAAUGAUUUAAAAAUUUACACAUCAAUCCUUUUAUUUUUAGUUUGAAUCCACAAAUAUAACAGGUCCUUUUUUUUUGAACAAGGGUCCUUUUUUAUUUGAGAAAUGAUAAAAUAAUAACCACGUGACAAAUACAUGUAUUUGUUUUCUACUAUAAUUCACUAUAAUUUUUUACUUUUGACAAAUACAUGUAAGUUAAGAACAAGGAAAUCUUUUUUACAUAUUACAUCAUUCUAUUUUAAGAAAUUGUCAUAAUCGUUUUUUGUUUUGUAUGCCCCACUACUAGAGUACUCAUGACUCAUCAGAGACUUAUGCCCUAUUUUAUUUUAUUUUAUUUUUCUUAAUUUACUAUAAUUUUGUUAUUCUCCAAAGUUUUGUUGAUUGGUAAUUCCCUAUCAAUCUUUGAAUUAUUUCUGCUAAUUUCAGCAAGCUUGGCAUCAAGAGAAUAUAUCAUGGCUUCUACUUGUAAAGAUUUUUUUUCGAAUGCCACCUAUGGAAUUUCAGCACCUCUUUGACUAUGUUUCUGAUUUUCAUUUUGUAGUAUCUGUAGCUGAAAUUUAGAUCAUAUAUAAGUAAAUAUUUAAUUUCAUAUAUAAGUCCAUUAAAAAAUAAGGUAAAAUUCUCAAAUAAUGUGUAGCACUCUCUCCGGCUAAAGGUUGCUUGGUGACCCUAGUAGUAACAUGAAAUAAUAACAUAUCAGUGUCAAUGAAGCUUAGAUACAAGAUACGAUACAUAUACAAUACUGCACCGAUAUGGAAAAAUUUCAAAAUCAAGAUACGAACGGCUGAGAUACGUUAAUAAAAAAAUUAUAUAAUUAAAUGUACAAUAUAAUUAUAACCAUUUUUCUUAAUAUGCAAAUAUAUUAACAAACACAAGAAACCAGUCAUAGGUUCGUAGCACAUCAACAUAAAUAUAAAUAAUAUUGACGAUUAAAAUAGUGAUGAUUAGUCAAUUACAUGCACAAUAUAUCUCAAAAAGAGCACCAUCAGUAUUAUACUAUAUCCAAAAGGAACAUUGUUAGUGCUAUACUAUAUCGAUUCGAAAAAGAAGCACUAUAUCCAAAAAAUAAAAUUAAAAUUUAAUCUUCGGAUACUCUCCUGAUACAUAUCGGAAAGUAUCGGAUAAUUAUUUUUUUUUAAAAUAAAAUUUAAUCUUUAGAUACUCUUUUAAUACGUAUCGAAAAUUUAAUCUUUAGAUACUCUUUUAAUAUGUAUUGUCCAUACUAACUAAGUUAAGCUCACGAUGACUUCCUUCCGUUUUCUAAUUGAAUGAAGAUGAUUUUUGUCAAAAUAAAAUAAAAUUUAAUACUCCUUCAAAUGUGUGGGCAUGGGUUUUAAUGAUCACUUAUAACAUAGGUAAAUAGGACCACCAUACCAUAUCACAUGAUUCUUGUAUUUUUUUUUUUCUCUAAUCCAACAUUUAUUUUCACAAUAAUCGAAUGCAACGUUAAUCCUAUUAGUGAUUACUCCUAAUUUUCUUUGGGGUUCGGUCAUUAUAAGGUUUUAAAUUAAAAUAUAAAUCAUAAAUUUGAGAAGUGAUUGAGUUAGAUUCACUUUUAAUUCUAUCACUAUGCAAAUAACCAUUUUACUCUCUAAUGUUUUCACAACAUCGUAUCUCAACUUGUGCACUCUCUAAUGUUUUGCUGUGGGGCCUCACAAUCAAUACCCAAAUAUUUUACUCACCAGCUCUCUUUCGUGUCCACUCUUUUCUUUUUCAUAUCUAUAUAUAUGUGCAUAGGCGAUCCAAUAUUUAAUCUCCACACUUGAAGCCUCUUCCACACAAAACACCAUUACUCACAACAUUAUAAGUGUCGAAAAAACCAGUUAGAACUUGAUGCUUUUUAUGAUUUUAAAGUAGGAGUAAAAUGUUUGUUAGAGUGGAGGUGUCGAAUGUUCAAAAAUGUUUUACACUAAGAAGUUAGACUCUAAUUCUCGAUGUAGAAUAUUGAUGGAUCUUUCGACACUCCAGACUCUAACAAAUCUUUUACUCCCCACUUUUGAAUCAUAGGUAGUAUUUCUCAUCCUAUUUAUGUGUUAGCACAGCAACAACAUAAAUGGGGAGUAAAAGAUAAGUAUUUCCUCAUUUAUGUGGGGGUGUCGUCACUUUUGAAAAAUACUUAUCUUUGUUGUUGUAAUCCAUUUAUGUGGCAGCACAGCAACAACAAAACAGACGACACUUCCCACAUAAAUGGAUUACAACAACAAAGAUAAGUAUUUUUCUUCCCCCUUUUCUCUCUUUUUUUCCAAUCCUCUGCUAAACUUUGUGUGAAAUGCAAAAUAAAACAUUGAUAAAACUAAAAGGCUGAUUCAAACUAAAAGAAUAUUUGGAUGAGGUUUUAUUAGCUAUGUAUUAAUUUGAAAAGCAUUAUUUGGUUUCUACUUUUUCCUACACUCUCUUUUAAAAUUUGAAAAAACCGUUAUAGCAAUGAGGGGAUAUCCAUGAUUGCAUGGGUAAUACAAUUCUAAACCGUUUAUUUAUUUCAUUUUUUUUAUUAUAAGAACAUACGUGUUUACUUCAAUUAAUUUUAUAAAUAGUGACUUUGAUGUGUAAAAUAUGCUUUUGAUUAAUUUUUGUCUGAUUUGUGUUAAUUUUGGUCGACAAUGUUGUUGCAAGUGUCCUCUUUUGAUCUUUUGUUGUUGCAGAGGAUAAAGAUCUCAUAUUUUCUUCCAUAAUGACAUAAUUAUUGUCAUUAGAGUAAAGUUGUGUUAGUUUAACUUAUUUCAGCACAUCAAAUAUAUGUUUUUGUGCAACAAUGAUGGUAAAGUUAAGACUUUUGUUGAUGGUAAAUCCCCUCUCUUCUUUCUUCAAGCAAUAUGAGCUUUUUGGUGGAGCUGUGAUUAUUUAAGUUUAAGGAUGUAGUCCUAGGAUUUACAGUGUGUUUGGUUGAGGUGAAAAAGAGAAGAGAGAAGUUGGUGAGAGAAGGGAAUGUAUAACUGGGAAAUGGUGUGGAUGUGUGUUACCCUCGGUGUGAAUUGUGUUGAAACAAUGAAUUGAUGAAUUUCUUGUAUAAAAAAUUAAGUGUAUUUUAGUAUUUUCAAAAAUAAUCAACUCUUAUGCUAAACUAUAAAUCAAAUCUCCUCUAUUUUUCACUUUUUUUCUCUCUUACUAACUUUUCUCUCACCUAUUUCUUUCUUCACAAUUUCCUUUCUAAACCAAACACACCAAUGUCAAAGUUUACACAUUGUCGUUGAAGAGAAAUUUGAAGUCACAUAUUCAAUUGCUAUGCCUGUUACUCAGAAUUAUGUGGAAUGCACUUUUAUUGAGAGUGGUUUUCCUAAAAGAUGUGCUAACAUUUUGAAGUGACACACGUUUCAGACAAGUGUAUUAAUUUAAUCACUUUCUUUUUUCCAAUCAAUCACUUUUUUUUUAUUAAAUACUUGCGAUUUCUAGGGAUUGUAAAAUACCCUUAUAAAAAGAAAAAAGCAUAAAAAAGAUAGUAAGUACUACAUGCAUGAUUGAAAACGAGAUAAAAUGCGACAAACGAAGCACAAACAGAAUGCAUGCAUGAAUGUAAAAACCAAUUUCAACCAAAAUUUAUUGUUUCCUUAUGAACCAAUUCAUUACCGCUUCUUCUCAAUUGAAUGAAGAUGCUUUUUUUCUUGUCAAAAAAUAAUAAUCUUUCAAAUGUGUAGGCUAGGGUUUAUUGAUGACAUAGGAAAAUAGGACCACCAUAGCUAAAAAUGUAUGGCACAUAUGCCUAACUAGCAAAUUUAAAUUCAGUUUGGAACACGAUGUAUUUCAAAUUUAAAAUCAAACAAUUCAUUUGCAGAAUAGGUAAUCUAGAAAUAAUAAGUUCCUUUUUAACUACCAUGAACCACCACAAAGGUGAACCAUUACUCAUAGAUAUACAAUCAUAGAAGUAGCUUUCCCCUUGGCAACCAAUGAUUUUGUAUACUUUGUGAUCCAUUCAACAUAUCCAAACCAUCAUUGCAAUCGAAGCAACCAACCGUAGUUGGUCAUUUUUUUUAAGUUUUAGUACUCAUUGUAUUUGUCGUCGUGUUCAAUUUCUCUCCUUUUCUGAACUUCUAUUAAUAAUAUACAAGAUCAAUCAAAAAUAUCUCUUGUCCUUGCUCUGAGAAGAUACCAGUGAACAAGAGGUUAGGUUUUGGUCAUGUGACCUUUUCCAAAAGUUAUUCCUAUGCUCGCUCAAUGCCAAACCAUUCAAGUAUAAAGCAUGUGAGGACCACAUUCAUUAAAAAAAGGAUAAAGCUUGAUGAAGGGGUUUAUGACAUCAAUGACACAUCUGCUUAUCUUCUAACCAGCUGGUGUUCAUUGAUGUCUUAUAAUCAAUUCUUGAUGAAAAAAACCAAAUAUGUUUGCAAGGGACAAAAACAUGAUCAUGAGUUUUGAUGGAAAAAAAAUAAAAUAAUUAGAGGUUUGUUAGAGUCUGGAGUGUCGAAUGUUCCACACUGAGAAGUGGUGCUUAGCUGAUGAGAUAUUUUCAGUCCUUUGCAGGAAAACUAUCCAACCUGGAAGGUUUAUUUUCUCUCUUUCUUUCUUUCUUCCAAAUAAAGAUUUUCCAUCUCUUUUGAAUGCUGGGUACAUUAGAUGCUCUUUUUUUUUAAAUUUUACAAGAUAAGGCAAUUGAAUUUAAGAUCAUUGAUUGUUUUAAAGCUUGGCGGAGAUCGAAAAGAUCUACGAGAUUGCAAUAUAUGGUUCAGAUGAAGAGAAGAUUUCUGCCGCUACCAUUCUGGGAUGGAGGAAUGCACAGGUAAUCCUAACACUUUAGCUACAGAGAAAAUACAACUGUUUUCUUGCUUAGUUCUAUUAAUACAACUUUAAUUUUUAAUUAUAAUUUCUAUAACACAAAACUCAUUCCUAAAAAAACAAGCUUUGUAAUUUAACUUCAUAAUAUAUUGCGAAUUAUCGUAGCUGACUUUCUUUUAUUUAUUUUAUUUUUUGACAAAACUAUACAAUCAAUUCUAAACUUGAGUUAUAAUAACAUAAGACAAACUUUUUAAUUUAGCUUACUAAUUACUAAUAUAUUUUGAUCAAUUCUAAUUUUAACUAUAAUAACAUUAAAAGAAAAUUUAUUUAAUUUUACUAUAGUGUAUUGGAAAUUGAUUAUAUUAUUUAUAUUUAGAAUUAGAAUUUGAAGAGUAAACUUCAGAAAUUAUGUUAGUUUGUGUAAUAAUUUUAAAAAAAAUUCGGUGUUGAGUUUGUUUUGGAAUUUUUAGAGACCAGAGCAUACGGUUCAAUCCAGUUUAAUACCUAUACAAUCUUAUUAUCCGGUUCAGUUAUUCGGAGUUCGACCAGCAAACCUGUGACCUUGUUGGGUCGAUGUAUGGUCCUGCUUGUAAAACACUUACUAAAACUAAUAAAAUAAGCUUUAUUAGUUUAGGUUCGUGAUAGCAUGUCUCGCGAGAAAUAGCACUACUCAUAUUAAAUGGAGAAUAGAGACAAGGUUCUGUUAAUAGGACGGAUUUAAUCGCUCACAAUCAGCUGUUGAUUGCAGAAAACAUAAUACUUAAGGUAAGAAUGUCACAACUUGAGCCACAAUUACAAGAAAUGAAGAAAUUUGAGUCCAUAAAAACUUUCAAGCAAACCUACGGAUAACAAUCAAUAGAAUAUAAAUGAGACACACUUGUGAUAUUUUGUUGAUAGAGAGAUAGGCAUUUUUUGAAUGAUUGUACUAUAUUUAGGCGAGUUUGAAGAUUAGACAAUUUUACAUGAUAUGGUAUAGUGGUAAACAAUCUUUUAUCUUUAUUAAACUCAAGUGGCUUCUCCAUUAUUUAGUUUGUUUGUAUUUUUUUUUCUGUCUCUCUCUCUUUGGGCAUGGGAAAUGUUCCUUCUGUACUUGUAAACGCUACUAGUCCAAUGGUUUCACAGGAUAAUGGAAUCAAUUGAUAAUGUUCUUCAGCUUUCGCAAGAAUACAGCCACAAUGUGUGUGAACCGGGAGUUGCUCUUGUUGAAUUUGUCUUCUCAAUUUUAAGGCAGUUACUUGAAGCAACUUUGGAUGAUGAAGGGUUAUUAGAUCAUCUUGCAAGAUGGCUAAGCAUAUCACAUGAUAUGGAUAUCGAUGAGCAUGUAAGAAUCAAUGAAAUGACAACCGAGCAGAAGGAGGUGAUGCGGAGGAAAAACACAACUCUAGCUAUUGAGAUCAUUGUGAAUUUUCUUCAAAAUAAAAUGACAUCAAGGCUUCUUUCCUUAGUUCAUCGAAACAUGUAAGAACCUAAUUCUGAUAUACUUGGCAUCAAUGAUGUUAACUGUCUAAAUACUUAAUUGAGCCAAUCUUAAUGAAGAAUGUUAUCUUUUGUAGGCCAUCAUACUGGAGAUCAUUCAAACAUCAAAUGCAGCUAAUUGCAUCAAAAUCUUCAAUUUUGAAGAAUUUGACACAUAUUAAUGCAGACACCCUUUUAUCUGCGAUGGAAAAUAUCCACGGGGUUGUAUCAUGCAAUGCAAAAUCAGUCAUACCUGCUGGUUCUCAAGUAGCUUUUGAUGGAGCGCUUCCAAUUGAUCUUAUACUUGAAGAUGCUUUGGACGGAGGGCAUGUAGCAACUUUCAGCGCAAUUGAAAUGAUUACUGGUAUGAAUGUAUGAUUGAUUUUUUUAUUUAUUUUAAAUCAUAAUGUUGGGUAAGUUUAUUCUGACAUGGCCAAACAUACUGGUAGACUAUGCACUGAAGUAGUAGUUUGAACGAUACUUAUCCUUGUGGUUUGAGUUUAGGAUUAACACUAGCUUUGAUGCUCACCCGAAAUGACCUGAACUUUAAUUUCACUUAUUUAAUUUCUCGCCUUCCUUUUAUUCUAGUUUUUGUUUCAUUGUUUUUCUUUCUUACUUCUGAAUCUAUAGGUUCAGAUGUUUUUAUUCUUACCUGGAUUAUCCUUUGAACGCCCUUUCAGACAUUAAUAAUACAUGUAGAUUCUAUAUGUUCACUAUACAGACAUAGUUUACUAAACUUUCUGAUUUGAGUCAAACGGGGAGUUAAAGAAUUUGCGUUUCUGAUUAAUAUGUUUCCUUUUUAUCGGUAUGUUUUAACUGAGGUAGGGCUAGGAUCAAUUAUUGGAGUAAAUGAAUGUUAAUAUAAUAAAAGUGAUCUGUGGAUAAAGAAAAAUAUGGCGGGGCUAAUAAACUGUUCACAAAUUUUUAGAAUGAAGGGUAGUAAAUUUUUUAUUUUUUUUUUCCUUCUGAUUUCAUAUCAUAACUCUAUUUCGUAAAAGCCUGUUCAUGUUUGUUUCAAGCCUCUUAGGUGUACAAGUGACACUGUCGGUUUUUUUCUCUUGCAGUUGGCAACUUACGACAUCUAAUUGUGGAGGCAUGUAUUGCCAGAAAUCUUCUAGACACAUCGGCUUAUUAUUGGCCUGGCUAUGUGAAUGCCUGCAGCAAUCAAAUUCCUGCCAGCAUUUCUAACCAGGUGGAUGGCUGGUCUUCAUUGAUGAAGGGGUCAAAGUUAACACCUACAUUAGCUGAUUUCUUAGCAGCAACUCCUGCUUCCAGGUAGGCUCCAUUGAUGACUCGUAUCAUUCCUAUGCUCUAUACCCUGUCACUUGCCUCUUAAAAAUGGUUUUAGAAGGGAAUGAUUUGUGGAAGGUGGUUGGUUAAAGAAACUAUCCAACCUGGAAGGUUUCUUUUCUCUCUUUCUUUCUUUCUUCCAAAUAAAGAUUUUCCAUCUCUUUUGAAUGCUGGGUACAUUAGAUGCUCUUUUUUUAAAUUUUACAAGAUAAGGCAACUGAAUUUAAGAUCAUUGAUUGUUUUAAAGCUUAGCGGAGAUCGAAAAGAUCUACGAGAUUGCAAUAUAUGGUUCAGAUGAAGAGAAGAUUUCUGCCGCUACUAUUAUGUGCGGUGCAUCUCUAGCACGUGGAUGGAAUGCACAGGUAAUCACGUGGACGGAUCCAAAAAUUUUGAAUAGUGGGGGCAUGACCAAAAAUGUAUAAAUACAAGCGAUAAAAUGACAAUAUUGAUCAUUUUUACUAAGUAAAAAGUUGGAGAUUACAAAAACUGUACCAUAGAAUAGUGUUUUGCAUUUGUUUUUAUUAUAUUUAAAAGAGUUGUAAGAUUUUUAUUUUAGUUUCAAUACUAUUAAAUACUCUAUGUAUGUUGCCAGACACUUUAAAAUUGAGACAAAUAGAAGGGAGUAAUAUUUAAGUUUUUAUUUUGUAUUUUGUGUUGGGGUGUAUGUGUGGAUAAGUUGAUUUUUAUUACUACUAGUAACAUACCCGUGCAGCACGGGUUCAGUAAACUUUUGUUAUUUGUAAAAAAUCAUUAAAUCAUUAAAUAUUUAUAAGAGUUUUGAUGUAAUUUAAUUAUUAGUUUAUGUAAGUAAUUUGUAUGUGUUUUUAAAUUAUUUGUGUAUUAUAUGUUUGAUGCUAUAAUAAAGUAAAAUUGUAAUCUCCGUGAACUUAGCUCAGUUGGUAGGGAUAUCGCAUUUUAUAUGCAGAGGUCGGGGUUCGAACCCUGGAUACUCCACUUCUCCACAAUUAUAUGCAAGGUCCAGAGUUCAAACCCCGGUCAUCAAAAAAAAUCUGUGAAUAAGGCCCCGUUUGAAUUGGCUUAUUUUGAGUUUAUGUUGGCUUAUCUACUCCCAUAAGCCUUUUUAAAGGUGUUUGGCUAAAUAAAUAAAAAUAGCUUAUCAUAGUUUCAUAAAUUGCUUAUGCCAUAUUUUAAUAAGCCAAAAUUUUCACAAAAUCAAUUGGUUUGGUCAAAAUUUUAAUAAGCCUUCUGUGAAAACAAACACAAUUUGGUUUGGUCUCCUCACAAAAUCACCAAGUUUUGGAGCUGGUGACAACGACUCUAGAUGGUGUCACAGUGUAAAAGAAAGAGUUUUCACCAUGGGAAUUUAGAAGAGAAAGAAUGGAGCAAAGUAUUUUAGUUAGAGCUGUAAAAGUUACAUUAGUUAGAAGUUAGUUGGUCUAAUUGGCUAUAUAAGCCUUAAUAUAAUCAUUUCAUUGAUGUAACAAUUCUUUCAUACUCAAUAUUAUUUUCCAUUUCGCUUUUCUAUGUACUCAUUCACUUUCCAAUUCUCUCAUAAUUAUUCCGUUAUUUUCUUGAGAAAAUUUUCAUCGAUUCCUUUCUUGAGGUUUCAGCAUACCCC